Columba livia (rock pigeon) is the source of this 799-nucleotide long non-coding RNA. RefSeq lists it as uncharacterized. The record is from RefSeq and is a predicted model, not a curated record. NCBI's taxonomy places the organism in Eukaryota, Metazoa, Chordata, Aves, Columbiformes, Columbidae. The transcript is spliced from 3 exons.
AGGUGCCUGCAGUACCUCCAGAAUGCGCACCCCAGGAGAGCUCCCCUGGGCAGAGCAGCUCUUCGCAGGAGGGGGAAGCACCAUCCCCCAGGAAGAGACCACACACCUGCGAAGAGGAGAGCGACGGCCCACCGCCCAAGAGAAGGCGAAUGCUGGCCGCAGACAGCUCAGCGAUGGACGACUGAGACAACCCAAGCAGGGUUGUAGAGGUGGCUGAAGACAUCACCCUCAUGCUGCCACCCGCUUGGCUCAGAUGGACGGUCUAGCAGGGGUUCCGAGAAAGAAGAUCACUUCUCGACCUUCCUGCAGAACUUUCACGUUUCUUUUCACAUGCCCGUUGGCAAUUUUCAGAUAGUUACAAUAGGGUUUUCAGCCAGUAGGGCAAGAGAGUUUGUUUGUUAGUUACUAACUAAGUUAGUAAGCUAGUUAGUAAGGUAGUAAGUUAGUUAGUUAGUUAGUUAGUUAGUUAGUUAGUUAGUUAGUUAGUUUCUAGUGUAGGUAGCUGUGUACUGAAUACAUUUCGUUCACAUCCCAGUUUUCACUUUCACGUUAUUUACAAAAGCGUUUUGAGCCAAUUUGGCAAGAGAGUUCGUAAGUUUAGUUUCUACUGUAGGUGUAGAUGUAGGUGUUCACUGUCAAGGCCCACUGAACUCGGCUCUCAUGCGACCGUCACUACUCUUCGUCUUCAAGUGAAGCGCCGCGUCAGAAGAGGAUGUGGUCCAAAGAAGGAUUUCUUUGGCCCCUAAGCACUUCAGGCUUUCUGAAAUCAAAUCUGAGCUAGCAGGAGAUGCAGACUGAU